GACGAACGCUGGCGGCGUGCUUAACACAUGCAAGUCGAACGAAGAGCGAUGGAAGCUUGCUUCUAUCAAUCUUAGUGGCGCACGGGUGAGUAACGCGUAAUCAACCUGCCCUUCAGAGGGGGACAACAGUUGGAAACGACUGCUAAUACCGCAUACGAUCUAAUCUCGGCAUCGAGGAUAGAUGAAAGGUGGCCUCUACAUGUAAGCUAUCACUGAAGGAGGGGAUUGCGUCUGGUUAGCUAGUUGGAGGGGUAACGGCCCACCAAGGCGAAGAUCAGUAGCCGGUCUGAGAGGAUGAACGGCCACAUUGGGACUGAGACACGGCCCAGACUCCUACGGGAGGCAGCAGUGGGGAAUCUUCCGAAAUGGACGAAAGUCUGACGGAGCAACGCCGCGUGAGUGAUGACGGCCUUCGGGUUGUAAAGCUCUGUUAAUCGGGACGAAAGGCCUUCUUGCGAAUAGUGAGAAGGAUUGACGGUACCGGAAUAGAAAGCCACGGCUAACUACGUG
Molecule: ribosomal RNA, 510 nt
Filed under: uncultured bacterium
Lineage: Bacteria
Description: partial 16S ribosomal RNA
Rfam family: Bacterial small subunit ribosomal RNA
Source: RNAcentral